Molecule: ribosomal RNA, 253 nt
Filed under: uncultured bacterium
Lineage: Bacteria
Description: partial 16S ribosomal RNA
Rfam family: Bacterial small subunit ribosomal RNA
Source: RNAcentral
GACGGAGGGGGCAAGCGUUGUCCGGAAUCACUGGGCGUAAAGCGCGUGUAGGCGGUCGCUUGCGUCGGUGCUGAAAGCGCCCGGCUUAACCGGGCGAGGCGUGCCGAUACGAUGCGACUGGAGGCAGGCAGAGGGCGGCGGAAUUCCGGGUGUAGCGGUGAAAUGCGUAGAGCUCCGGAGGAACGCCGGUGGGGGAGCCGGCCGCCUGGGCCGGACCUGACGCUGAGACGCGACAGCGUGGGGAGCAAACCGG